This 982-nucleotide long non-coding RNA is filed under the name Dromaius novaehollandiae (emu). RNAcentral's name for it is "lncRNA (ENSDNVG00000014667.1)". The record is from RNAcentral. Lineage: Eukaryota; Metazoa; Chordata; Aves; Casuariiformes; Dromaiidae.
GUUGCUUAACAGUACUACUGAAGCUUCUCUGUUUUGCAGGAAUAUGUUACGCUGGGUAUUUCUGUGAUGUUGGAUCCACURAGCCAAAUCAUAAGCGCUGCCCCCCUGGCUCCUACUGCCCUGAAGGCUCUGAAUCCCCAGUCCCGUGCAGCCCAGGAAGCUUCAACUCUGACAGUGGAAAAUGGCAGUCAACGGACUGUCAGCUCUGCCCAGCUGGAUACUUCUGCAGUGGUUUUGGAGCACAUACUCCUGAGCUGUGCCCUCGUGGGUACUUCUGUCUGCCAGGUACCAACUUCAGUACAGAGCAUCCGUGUCCAAAAGGUACCUUUGGCCCCAGGGCUGGUGCCACUAGUGAGUCGGACUGUGAGCCCUGCCCAGCAGGCAUGUAUUGCUCAGCAGCAGGUCUAUCACAGCCUUCUGGGUUUUGCCACUCAGGUUAUCAUUGCACCAAGGGAGCCRUCAGCCCAGCCCCCUUCGAACACAGGGUGGAAUCUGCUGUCCUUGGUCUGCCUGGGAAUGACAUCUGUCCUGUGGGGCAUUUCUGCCCCACUGGUACAGGGUAUCCCAUCCCCUGUCCUCCUGGAUCCUUCUCUACUUCCCUGGGCCUGGAGGCAGAGGAACAGUGCCAGCCCUGUCCAGCUGGGCGGUAUUGCAGUGAGGCAGGACUGUCCGAUCUGGCGCAGACAUCGCUGUGUAAUGCAGGAUUUGUUUGUCUGGAAGGAAACUCUGCUCCCUGCCCUUCUGACAGAAUUCAUGGAUACAGAUGUCCCAGUGGCUUCUACUGUCCUGCUGGCACUGGGCUAGAACUGCCCUGUGAGCCUGGCACGUUCAGCCCUAUGCCUGGGGCGAGUGUCUGCCUCCCUUGCCCAGCUGGUAUGACCUGCAGCAAUGCUGCCACUGUGAAGCCACUCCGUUGCCCCAGAGGUGAGGAAUACAUGUGUGCAGCAAAGCCCCUAACUCAGGAUGGGAGGUGUGGUGGAUA